This 6179-nucleotide long non-coding RNA is filed under the name Triticum aestivum (bread wheat). RNAcentral describes it as "long non-coding RNA (TAES_LNC022282)". Lineage: Eukaryota; Viridiplantae; Streptophyta; Magnoliopsida; Poales; Poaceae. The record is from RNAcentral.
CUUCCACUAUUACUAGCCUCUCUUGUGCCGCGCAACUUUUGCCGGUACCAUACACCCACCAUAUACCUUCCUCAAAACAGCCACCAUACCUACCUAUUAUGGCAUUUCCAUAGCCAUUCCAAGAUAUAUUGCCAUGCAACUUUCCACCGUUCCGUUCAUAUGACACGCAUUACUUUUGUCAUAUUGCUCUUUGCAUGAGCAUGCAGUUGACAUCAUAUUUGUGGCAAGGCCACUUUCAUAAUUUUCAUACAUGUCACUCUUGAUUCAUUGCAUAUCCCGGUACACCGCCGGAGGCAUUCAUAUAGAGUCAUAUCUUGUUCUAGCUUUGAGUUCUAAUUCUUGAGUUGUAAAUCCAUAAAAGUGUGAUGAUCUUUAUUAUUAGAGCAUUGUCCUAGUGAGGAAAGGAUGAUGAAGACUAUGAUUCCCCCACAAGUCGGGAUGAGACUUCGGACUUUACAAAAAGAAAAAAAAAGAAAGAAAAAAAGAAAAAGGCCAAAAAGAAAAAAAAGGCCAAAGAAAGAAAAGAAAAAAAAAGAAAGAAAAAAAAGAGAGAAAAAAAUAAAAUGAGAGAAAAAGAUAGAAGGGACAAUGCUACUAUCUCUUUUUCCACACUUGUGCUUCAAAGUAGCACCAUGAUCUUCGUGAUAGAGAGUCUCCUAUGUUGUCACUUUCAUAUACUAGUGAGAAUUUUUCAUUAUAGAACUUGGCUUGUAUAUUCCAAUGAUGGGCUUCCUCAAAAGUGCCCUAGGUCUUCGUGAGCAAGAAAGUUGGAUGCACACCCACUCAGUUUCUUAUGUUGAGCUUUCAUAUAUCUAUAGCUCUAGUGCAUCCGUUGCAUGGCAAUCCCUACUCACUCACAUUGAUAUCUAUUAAUGGGCAUCUCCAUAGCCCGUUGAUACGCCUAGUUGAUGUGAGACUAUCUUCUCCUUUUUUAUCUUCUCCACAACCACCAUUCUAUUCCACAUAUAGUGUUAUGUCCAUGGCUCACGCUCAUGUAUUGCGUGAAAGUUGAAAGAGUUUGAGAUUAUUAAAGUAUGAAACAAUUGCUUGGCUUGUCAUCAGGGUUAUGCAUGAUUAAAUACUUUGUGUGAUGAAGAUAGAGCAACAGCCAGACUAUAUGAUUUUGUAGGGAUAAAUUUCUUUGGCCAUGUUAUUUUGAGAAGACAUGAUUACUUUGAUUAGUAUGCUUGAAGUAUCACCAUUUUCAUGUUAAUAUGAACUUUUAUUUUGUAUCAUUUGGAUCUGGACAUUCAUGCCACAAUAAAGAAAAUUACAUUGAGAAUUAUGCUAGGUAGCAUUCCACAUCAAAAAUUUCUUUUUUAUCAUUUACCUACUCGAGGACGAGCAGGAAUUAAGCUUGGGGAUGCUUGAUACGUCUCCAAUGUAUCUAUAAUUUUUGAUUGUUCCAUGCUAUUAUAUUACCCAUUUUGGAUGUUUAUGGGCUUUAUUUUAUACAUUUAUAUAAUUUUUGGGACUAACCUACUAACCGGAGGCCCAGCCCGUAUUGCUGUUUUUUUGCCUAUUUCAGUAUUUCGAAAAAAAGGAAUAUCAAACGGAGUCCAAACGGAAUGAAACCUUCGAAGGCGUGAUUUUUGGAACGAAUGUGAUCCAGAGGACUUGGAGUGCAAGUCAAGAAGCAGCCGAGGUGGUCACGAGAUAGGAGGGCCCCCCCCCCCCUAUAGGGUGCGCCCCCCUGUCUCGUGGGCCCCUCGGGCCGCCACCGACGUACUUCUUCCUCCUAUAUAAGCCUGCGUACCCCGAAAACAUCCAGGGAGCACCCGAAACACAAUUUCCACCGCCGUAACAUUCUGUAUCCGCGAGAUCCCAUCUUGGAGCCUUCGCCGGCGCUCCGCCGGAGGGGGAAUCGGCCACGGAGGGCUUCUACAUCAACACCAUAGCCCUUCCGAUGAGUUGUGAGUAGUUUACCACAGACCUACGGGUCCAUAGUUAUUAGCUAGAUGGCUUCUUCUCUCUUUUUGGAUCUCAAUACAAUGUUCUCCCCCUCUCUUGUGGAGAUCUAUUCGAUGUAAUCUCUUUUUGCGGUGUGUUUGUUGAGAUCCAAUGAAUUGUGGGUUUAUGAUCAAGUUUAUCUAUGAAUAAUAUUUGAAUCUUCUCUGAAUUCUUUUAUGUAUGAUUGAGUUAUCUUUGCAAGUCUCUUCGAAUUAUCAGUUUGGUUUGGCCUACUAGAUUGAUCUUUCUUGCCAUGGGAAAAGUGCUUAGCUUUGGGUUUAAUCUUGCAGUGUCCUUACCCAGUGAUACAAAGGGCUGCGAGGCACGUAUUGUAUUGUUGCCACCGAGGAUAAAAAAGAUGGGGUUUAUAUCAUAUUGCAUGAGUUUAUACCUCUACAUCAUGUCAUCUUGCUGAAUGUGUUACUCUGUUCUUUGUGAACUUAAUACUCUACAUGCAGGCAGGAGUCGGUCGAUGUGUGGAGUAAUAGUAGUAGAUGUAGGCAGGAGUCGGUCUACUUGUUGCGGACGUGAUGCCUAUAUACAUGAUCAUGCCUAGAUAAUCUCAUAAUUAUUCGAUUUUCUAUCAAUUGCUCGACAGUAAUUUGUUCACCCACUGUAAUACUUAUGCUAUCUCGAGAGAAGCCUCUAGUGAAACCUAUGGCCCCCGGGUCUAUCUCUUAUCAUAUUUGAUUCCAAUCUACUUUUAUUUGCAUCUUUACUUUCUGCAUCUAUAUUAUAAAAUACCAAAAAUAUAUUUAUCUUAUCAUACUAUCUCUAUUAGAUCUCACUUCCGCAAGUGGCCGUGAAGGGAUUGACAACCCCUUUAUUGCAUUGGUUGCGAGUUCUUUGUUUGUUUGCGUAGGUGCGUGGGACUUCUGAGGAGCCUCCUACUGGAUUGAUACCUUGGUUCUCAAAAACUAAGGAAAAUACUUACGCUACUCUGUUGCAUCACCCUUUCCUCUUCAAGGAAAACCAACGCAAGCUCUAGACGUAGCAAGCGGUACUACCGCUCAACCUCACGGUACUACCGCAAGGGGUAGCGGUGCUACCUCAAAGGGUAGCGGUACUACUGCUUGCGAGCGGUACUAAAAAAUACAUCCGUGCCUACCACCGCUGGACUUGUGACGGGUUUUUGGUUCGGAGCGGUACUACCGCUGUAGUAGCCGCGGUAGUACCGCUCUGGAGUGGUAGUAAAAAAUUACAUCCGCUCCUGUCCGCGGUAGUACCGCUGCAGCCUUUUCAGAACACCAAAACUGCCACAACUUCUGUAAACGGACUCCGAAUUCAACGAAACCAAGUUUGUUGGAAAGCUAGCGACAAGGGCUAACACAAUCUUGAUAGAACUAACAAUAAUAAGGAAAUUAGAAAAGGCUCAAGAGAAAAUGGUGAGAAUCCUUCCUCGAAAAAGACCGGUAAAACCUCCAACACCGAAAACGCGAUAGAAGAAGCAUAUGAAAUCCGUUUUCGAUGUACUAGAGCUUGUCACGAAGAUAACCACAAGCUCUAAAACCUCAAAAGAAAAUACAAAUAAGAAUCAAAAAAGAUAAUACAAGUAAUACAAGGAUGCAAUGGUUUGAGCUCUCGACAAAUGAUACGAUCACGCUACUCACUUGAGAGCCCCCCUUGAUAGUACGGCUAGCGAUCCUAUAACCCGGUCUCCAAACUAUCACCAUGAGACCGGUAAAAUAUAAAACCUAUCAAGGGAAAACCUUUGCCUUGCACAAAGUCCACUUGAGCUAGAUGAUGACGAUCUUGACUCCCUCAAGUUGGACCACCUUUCUUGAUUGUGUUGGGUCGAUGAAGACUAGAUGAUUGCUCCCCCAUACUCCACUAUGGGUGAGCCACUCUUCGGCACAUCUUCACAAGUCCAUUGACACCAUAAUGGACGGCAAGCAUCAAGCACUUGAUCUCUUCGUGAUGCUCCACUUGAACUUGCGCACGACAAUCUUGAUGAUGAUCACCACUUGAUGUCAUCCUCUGCAUUGGUUAGUGAUAUCUUCCUCUUGACGCAAGCCCAUGAACACGUACCUAACUCCACAUGGAACUCUCACAUAGACCAUGGGUUAGUACACAAAACACAAUGGACAAUGCUUACCAUACCAUGAGAUCACUUGAUCCCACUCGGUGUAUCUUCUACGCUUUGUGUGAUGAUCAACUUGAAUCACUCUCUCUACUUAGUCUUGAUUAACCUUGACUCUUUCCAACUCUAUGACCAAUCUUUGGAUAAUUCCUUAAUACCACAUUGGUCAACUCAUAAACUCCUUGAAACCAACACAUGUACUUCAAGAAAUGCCUAUGGACAAAUUCUUCAAAUAUAACUCAAUGUAACCAUUAGUUCAUAGAGAAUGUCAUCAAUUACCAAAACCACACAUGGGGGCACCGCAUGUCCUUUCAACAUGGCAGCACCACGGUCCACGGAGGUCCAAAGUACACAUGACCAUACAUGUUACGUAUGUUCAUAUUACCAUACAUGUUAUGUUUUCACUUUUUGUUUAGAACGGGCUCAGAAAGAGCCCGGCUUUGAAUUAACAAAGCCAUCAACCGGCCAGGAUUACAAGAUCACCAACUUACAAGGAAAAAGAACAAGCGGCUGAUACAAGGAGCAAAGCGAAACACACUCAAAGGCAGCAGCGAUAGCAAGCAGGAACGCCAUGCUGCAGCCAACACCCUAUAGGACAACCUACACCAACCGGACUACUACGAACUUGAGAGGAUGCACCACCGCGCAAGCUUCGUGAUCAUAGCCAAACUCGAAGACAGUAAUGGAUCGACACUCCUCUGGAACUGCCACUGCAAAGGGCCCCUGCCCUCUCAUCCUGGCUCAAUGGAUGUCACACCGGCACGCGGCAGCUCGGUUCACCCUAGAACCCAGAAGGAAGACGUCCAAGCUGCGCAUGGAAGGAACUAGGAGCAGACCUGCAAGCACAGAGCACACCACUCCGAGCACCAUCAUCGUCCGCGGUUAAGCCACACCAAAGGGCUAGAGCUGUCGGCCACAGUCGCAGCAACAAGGGUAACAGCGAGGCCACUGAAGAAAAGGCAGUGAAGCGCAGAGCCAAGCUGCCACCCGCCAUCAUCACACCCACAACCCAACUCUCUUGCCGCCCCUGUGAUCCCCGGACUGCGCCUCCAAGAAGGAACACGACACGGAUGUGUCGUCGCCGCCCGAAUCAGGGGACCUAGGCUUUCACCUAGCAGGGGACGAAAAGAGGGGGAGAAGGAUCGUCACCACAUCCUCCAGGGAGUGGAACGACGCCGAGGGCGUCACCUACGGUGUGGCUGCGUCGGCCAGGGAUUUCCCCCGAAUCCAACCCCACUCGAUGAAAUCCGCGCAGCCAGCGCCCGGGUAGAACGGCAUAAGCCACUAGGACCCGGAUCUGGCGAAGGAAGGAGUAGAUCGGGGCGGAGAGGAUGAGAUGCAUCUGGCGGCGGCAACCGCGCGGGGGAGGCCGCACACCAGCGACCGGGGACCGACGCCUCCUCGUCCCCCGCGAGACCGAGGGAGGCUCCUCACCAACUCCGACAGGAAUGGCCUGCCGCAAGGCCACCCCGCACUCUCCGCCCAAGGUCGCCGCCCCGGAUGCGGAGGCCCACCACGCAAUGUGGAGCUGCCGGAUCCCCCGCCGCCACCUUCAUCGAAGUCGAGCGCAUACCGGCGCACUCCUCUGGCAGAGGCGGCAGUUAGGGUUUCCCCCGAGUCGCCUCAAAGGAGACGACGCGGGGAGGGGGGGGGGGGGCAAAGCCCAUGUUUUCACAUUCCAGGAUCUUAUUGGAGCAUUUCUCAAGUUCGGGGACAACUAUUAUACGCGCCACGGCUAAACCAAGCACACUCAUGGAGAGAACAAAAUUAUGAUUUUCCCAGCCAUGCAGCGAAUGACUACAGACUGGUACCCAUACAAGGAAUUUCAGACAUCCGAGCGAGAACAAGAAAAUCACAUGCAACCGCCAGCACAUUACUUAGAAAAAGCAAUAUUUUAAGGUUUAUAGAGCUGAAAUUGGACUGGUGACAAGAUCAGGAUGAAGCUAUAAGGAUCCAGCGUCUCUUUAUUCCCAUUUACUUAGCGAAACAGUGAAGUACCCAGUUAUAUCAUGACCCCAACAUUCAAACCAACCCCCCUCCCGCUGUAUAUGUUAAUUAAUAGAUUAAGAAUUGCUAACGGUACAAAAACAAUUACUAACUAGUGCAACCACAAGGAAUCGAGCGCUUCUGAGGAUCUACUAUUGUUCAA